UACGGAGGGUGCAAGCGUUAUCCGGAUUUACUGGGUUUAAAGGGUGCGUAGGUGGGUAGGUAAGUCAGUGGUGAAAUCUUCAAGCUUAACUUGGAAACUGCCAUUGAUACUAUUUAUCUUGAAUACUUUUGGAGGUAAGCGGAAAUAUGUCAUGUAGCGGUGAAAUGCUUAGAUAUGACAUAGAACACCAAUUGCGAAGGCAGCUCGCUGGGAACGGUACUGACGCUGAGACGCGAAAGCGUGGGGAGCAAACAGG
This 256-nucleotide ribosomal RNA is filed under the name uncultured bacterium. RNAcentral describes it as "partial 16S ribosomal RNA". It matches the Rfam family "Bacterial small subunit ribosomal RNA", at positions 524 to 776 of the family's 1533-position model. The record is from RNAcentral.